This 65-nucleotide transfer RNA is filed under the name Modiolus modiolus (northern horsemussel). RNAcentral describes it as "tRNA-Tyr". Lineage: Eukaryota; Metazoa; Mollusca; Bivalvia; Mytilida; Modiolidae. The record is from RNAcentral.
CGUUGGAUGGCUGAAGUGUAGGCGGUUGAUUGUAAAUCUUCUAAUAGAAAUAGUUCUUCCUAUGA